UUGAACGCUGGCGGCAGGCCUAACACAUGCAAGUCGAGCGGAUGAAGGGAGCUUGCUCCUGGAUUCAGCGGCGGACGGGUGAGUAAUGCCUAGGAAUCUGCCUGGUAGUGGGGGAUAACGUCCGGAAACGGGCGCUAAUACCGCAUACGUCCUGAGGGAGAAAGUGGGGGAUCUUCGGACCUCACGCUAUCAGAUGAGCCUAGGUCGGAUUAGCUAGUUGGUGGGGUAAAGGCCUACCAAGGCGACGAUCCGUAACUGGUCUGAGAGGAUGAUCAGUCACACUGGAACUGAGACACGGUCCAGACUCCUACGGGAGGCAGCAGUGGGGAAUAUUGGACAAUGGGCGAAAGCCUGAUACAGCCAUGCCGCGUGUGUGAAGAAGGUCUUCGGAUUGUAAAGCACUUUAAGUUGGGAGGAAGGGCAGUAAGUUAAUACCUUGCUGUUUUGACGUUACCAACAGAAUAAGCACCGGCUAACUUCGUG
This 483-nucleotide ribosomal RNA is filed under the name uncultured bacterium. Its description in RNAcentral is "partial 16S ribosomal RNA". It matches the Rfam family "Bacterial small subunit ribosomal RNA", at positions 30 to 507 of the family's 1533-position model. The record is from RNAcentral.